This 26-nucleotide unclassified non-coding RNA is filed under the name Mus musculus (house mouse). Its description in RNAcentral is "oocyte_clustered_small_RNA11040". The record is from RNAcentral. Lineage: Eukaryota; Metazoa; Chordata; Mammalia; Rodentia; Muridae.
UACUAAACUUCAGGGCAGCACAGCAU